UGCAGGGUCGGCUGGCCGAGGCGGCGCGCGCCUGCCGCGCCCUGCAGGCGCCCGAGCUGGCGGCCGCCGGUGCGGGGCUGGCCCGGGCGGCC
RNAcentral lists this transfer RNA (92 nucleotides) under Sphaerotilus natans. RNAcentral describes it as "tRNA-Arg". RNAcentral also lists the same sequence under 1 other name. The record is from RNAcentral. Lineage: Bacteria; Pseudomonadati; Pseudomonadota; Betaproteobacteria; Burkholderiales; Sphaerotilaceae.